AAGAAUUUAGUUAAACUAUAACAUUGAUUUGUCAAAUCAAAAUUAUUUACAUCAAAUAAUUCUUU
RNAcentral lists this transfer RNA (65 nucleotides) under Oryzaephilus surinamensis (saw-toothed grain beetle). RNAcentral describes it as "tRNA-Asp". The record is from RNAcentral. Lineage: Eukaryota; Metazoa; Arthropoda; Insecta; Coleoptera; Silvanidae.